This 452-nucleotide ribosomal RNA is filed under the name uncultured bacterium. RNAcentral describes it as "bacterial SSU rRNA". It matches the Rfam family "Bacterial small subunit ribosomal RNA", at positions 354 to 796 of the family's 1533-position model. The record is from RNAcentral.
GUGGGGAAUAUUGGGCAAUGGGCGAAAGCCUGACCCAGCGACGCCGCGUGGGUGACGAAGGCCUUCGGGUCGUAAAGCUCUGUCGAGAGGGACGAACCAUUGGUGGGAACAAUACCUCACCGAUUUGACGGUACCUCCAAAGGAAGCACCGGCUAACUCCGUGCCAGCAGCCGCGGUAAUACGGAGGGUGCAAGCGUUGUUCGGAAUUACUGGGCGUAAAGGGCGUGUAGGCGGAUCGAGAAGUCGGGUGUGAAAUCCCUGGGCUCAACCCAGGAAGUGCGCCCGAAACCAUCGGUCUCGAGAUUCGGAGGGGAGCGGGGAAUUCCCAGUGUAGAGGUGAAAUUCGUAGAUAUUGGGAAGAACACCGGCGCCGAAGGGGCCGCUCUGGACGAAUACUGACGCUAAGACGCGAAAGCGUGGGGAGCAAACAGGAUUAGAAACCCCAGUAGUCC